RNAcentral lists this ribosomal RNA (465 nucleotides) under Vreelandella stevensii. Its description in RNAcentral is "partial 16S ribosomal RNA". It matches the Rfam family "Bacterial small subunit ribosomal RNA", at positions 338 to 795 of the family's 1533-position model. The record is from RNAcentral. Lineage: Bacteria; Pseudomonadati; Pseudomonadota; Gammaproteobacteria; Oceanospirillales; Halomonadaceae.
CCUACGGGGGGCAGCAGUGGGGAAUAUUGGACAAUGGGCGAAAGCCUGAUCCAGCCAUGCCGCGUGUGUGAAGAAGGCCUUCGGGUUGUAAAGCACUUUCAGUGGGGAAGAAAGCCUUGGGGCUAAUACCCUCGAGGAAGGACAUCACCCACAGAAGAAGCACCGGCUAACUCCGUGCCAGCAGCCGCGGUAAUACGGAGGGUGCGAGCGUUAAUCGGAAUUACUGGGCGUAAAGCGCGCGUAGGCGGUCUGAUAAGCCGGUUGUGAAAGCCCCGGGCUCAACCUGGGAACGGCAUCCGGAACUGUCAGGCUAGAGUGCAGGAGAGGAAGGUAGAAUUCCCGGUGUAGCGGUGAAAUGCGUAGAGAUCGGGAGGAAUACCAGGGGCGAAGGCGGCCUUCUGGACUGACACUGACGCUGAGGUGCGAAAGCGUGGGUAGCAAACAGGAUUAGAUACCCGAGUAGUC